UGGGGAAUCUUGCGCAAUGCGCGAAAGCGUGACGCAGCAACGCCGCGUGAGGGAAGACGGCCUUCGGUUGUAAACCUCUUUCAGGAGGGACGCGGUACCUCCAGAAGAAGCUCCGGCUAACUACGUGCCAGCAGCCGCGGUAAUACGUAGGGAGCAAGCGUUGUCCGGAAUCAUUGGGCGUAAAGAGCGCGUAGGCGGCCGUGUAAGUCCGUUCUGAAAGUCGGAGGCUCAACCUCCGAAAGCGGAUGGAUACUGCACGGCUAGAGUCCGGAAGAGGCGAGUGGAAUUCCUGGUGUAGCGGUGGAAUGCGCAGAUAUCAGGAGGAACACCAACGGCGAAGGCAGCUCGCUGGGACGGUACUGACGCUGAGGCGCGAAAGCGUGGGGAGCAAACAGGAUUAGAUACCCCGGUAGU
RNAcentral lists this ribosomal RNA (414 nucleotides) under uncultured bacterium. RNAcentral's name for it is "bacterial SSU rRNA". It matches the Rfam family "Bacterial small subunit ribosomal RNA", at positions 355 to 794 of the family's 1533-position model. The record is from RNAcentral.